Long non-coding RNA from Xiphophorus couchianus (Monterrey platyfish), 1802 nucleotides. RefSeq lists it as uncharacterized. The record is from RefSeq and is a predicted model, not a curated record. NCBI's taxonomy places the organism in Eukaryota, Metazoa, Chordata, Actinopteri, Cyprinodontiformes, Poeciliidae. The transcript has 4 exons.
UCAAUAUCCAAGUGAGUUUGAACAAUUUAACAAUAAAGUCUGGUGUGAAACUUUGAAUCUGCAGAUGCUCUAAAAAGUGCUCCAAUCUUAUCUGCCACAGGAGGGUGCUGUUGCACAAGUUUUACGCAACACAAGCGCUUUCCAGUGAUUUUGUUACUUUGCCUCACAGAAACUGGGGCUUCUUAAUUGAAAUCUUACCACUUCAUUCACAUCUCUGUUAUUUUGUUUGAAAAUAAACCUAAAGAUGAUCUCUGGCACUUUAUUCGGAGUUUCAAGUCACAUUAAAACUUGUUUUAACUACUCUUGAAUUCUCUUCCGCCUUACUUCCCUUUCUCUCACCAUCUCCCUAGAGAGCCUGAGAGGCUGAGAGGCCAGCGAAGGGGUGAGGCGCUGACAGCUUUCUUUUUCAUGUCUUUUCAGCAUGAAACAUAGUUGUGGACUCGAUGUCAGCGUCUGAGAUGGCCGCUUUGAUAAAGUUAGUCUGGCUCGCUGAGAUUGGCAUCCUUCUGGCUGGAAAAGAAAACAGAAAGCUCUUAUACAUAAACAGAGGAAAAUAGCCCUGGCGCAGAGAGAAAAUUGACCUUCAGGAAACUGUGGAGUGCCAUCAGCUUAGAUGUCAUGUGGACCACGAGCAGCUCUAUAAAUCAUCAAAAAGUGGUUGAAACUUGAAAUCUAUUUUAUUCCAAAUCAAAACAUGAAACCUGUUAGACUGACAAGCCGGCAUGGCCACCCACAAAAGAAUGAAGAUCGCGGCAGAACGUCAGAUUCCAGCACAUCAAUGACCCUGAACAUAGAGCCAAAGUCUGAUUGGAAUGGUCUAGAAGAAAGCAUGUUACAGCACUGGUGACACAUUUGAGGAGUGCUUAUCCUACACAGUGACCCCGCAGAUGACCAACGUGUAACAGUCCUUAAUGUCCACCUGUUGGUCUGCACCGUGUAUAAAAGGUGUAUCCCACAACCAAGUGAGCACGAGUCUUCUCCUUCUGUCACAUGAACUUCCAAAAUGCCUUAAUGUUUGCUGCAGUGACGUGACAAAAUUGUCAUCGCAUUUAAAACCUCAGCAAAGGACAGUAGCGUAGCGAGACUCCAAAUGUUUGCCUCUUGAAAAAGCCAGAAAAAUACACACUGGAUCGUAGGCGUACACUAUGCCCUGCAAAUGACUCGACCCGGCCACCUUACAUGUCAUCAUGUUCCACUGUAAACUCAACGUGAUACUAGCUCCAAAGGCAUCUUUUGAUGCCAAUAUUAUCCUCAAUGUCAGUGCAGAUCUCCCGUCAGCCCGGUCCUAAUACUCAGUGACAGGAGCCCCGCGGUGAGGACCCCACUCUGUCGUCUGAUCGGGCAACCAGAUGGACAGCUCAGCAGCAAGAGGGGACCUGAUAUCAGUGUCAGCAAUCAGAUCUCACCCACUGAGAACUCGUGUGUGUGCGAGGCGGCGUGGGAGAGAGAAUACACAGUGCGAAGUGAUUGUUGGGAGCAUAUGUGCUGACGGCAGCCGGAGUGUGUGUUGAAAUGAAGAUUAAUGAAUAAGGUCCCGGUAAAGUGUGUGCAGACGAAGUUGGAGGGUCAACAGACGCUUCAAACUGUGCACAAACUUAAACUUGAGUGCGCACACGGUGUGUAGGUGGCGGUUUGUAAAAGUGUGUGCCUGGUUAAAUUGUAUCUUUUGACUUUUCACCACCUCUUGUCCCACAGCUGUGAGGUGCAGACUGACCUGAGAAAGGCUCACAAAGCUCCCCUAUAAUGGCACAACUCAACAAGUCAAAGGAGUUUCUCUUCAGCUAAAUAUUUAUUGUUUUAAA